AAUAAAUUUUUUAUGGUUUAAAAAAUUUAUUUUAAGUUUAUUUUACAUAUAAAUUUUAGUGUUAACUAUUAAUUAUUUAAAUAAUAUUUAAUUUUUAUGGUAGUAAUUAAUUUUAAAAAUUUAAGAAAUUAAGAUUUAGUAAUAUAAAAAUUAAUAACUAAUUUUGUGCCAGCAGUUGCGGUUAUACAAAAGUUAAUUUAAAUUUUUUUAGUAAUUAAUAAUUAAAUAAAUAUAAAAUAAUUUAAAUUUUAAAAUUAUUAGGUGAAAUUUUAAUUUAAUAAAAAAUUAUUUUAAAAUUAUGAUUUAAUAAAUUUAAUAAAAAACUAGGAUUAGAUACCCUAUUAUUAAAAUUUAAAUUAAUAAUACUUAAAUAGUAAAUAUUUUUUAUUGAAACUUAAAUAAUUUGGCGGUAUUUUAGUUUAUUUAGAGGAAUCUGUUUAAUAAUUGAUAAUCCACGAAUAAAUUUACUUAAUUUAAUAUUUUGUAUAUCGUUGUUAAAAAAAUAUUUUUUAAUAAAAAUAAUAUUUUAAAUUUUAAAUUUAAAAUUAAAUCAGAUCAAGAUGCAGAUAAUGAUUAAGAAUAUAAUGGAUUACAAUAAAUUUAUUUAAUUGAAUUUUAAUAUGUAAUAAUUAAAUGAAAUUGGAUUUAAAUGUAAUUUUAUUUAAUUUAUUAAAAUGAUUAAAUAUUAAAAUAUGUACAUAUUGCCCGUCGCUUUCAUUAAUAAAUUGAAAUAAGUCGUAACAAAGUAGAGGUACUGGAAAGUGUUUCUAGAAAGAA
RNAcentral lists this non-coding RNA (777 nucleotides) under Dolbina tancrei. The record is from RNAcentral. Lineage: Eukaryota; Metazoa; Arthropoda; Insecta; Lepidoptera; Sphingidae.